AGCAGCCGCGGUAAUUCCAGCUCCAAUAGCGUAUAUUAAAGUUGUUGCAGUUAAAAAGCUCGUAGUUGAAUUUCGGGAUCAAUAUGUUGGUCGUGCCUCGGUACGUACUAGCAUAUUGGUUUCUCCUUUCUGAAGAACCAUGAUGUCAUUUAUUUGGUGUCGUGGGGAAUCAGGACUGUUACUUUGAAAAAAUUAGAGUGUUUAAAGCAGGCUCACGCUUGAAUACAUUAGCAUGGAAUAAUGAAAUAGGACGUUUGAUUCUAUUUUGUUGGUUUCUAGGAUCGACGUAAUGAUUAAUAGGGAUAGUUGGGGGCAUUAGUAUUCAAUUGUCAGAGGUGAAAUUCUUGGAUUUAUUGAAGACUAACUACUGCGAAAGCAUUUGCCAAGGAUGUUUUCAUUAAUCAAGAACGAAAGUUAGGGGAUCGAAGACGAUCAGAUACCGUCGUAGUCUUAACCAUAAAACUAUGCCGACUAGGGAUCGGAUGAUGUUAAUUUUUU
This 498-nucleotide unclassified non-coding RNA is filed under the name uncultured Glomus. Its description in RNAcentral is "SSU rRNA". It matches the Rfam family "Eukaryotic small subunit ribosomal RNA", at positions 569 to 1072 of the family's 1831-position model. The record is from RNAcentral. Lineage: Eukaryota; Fungi; Glomeromycota; Glomeromycetes; Glomerales; Glomeraceae.